AGGACCUUUCUGGAACUCGAAAAACUAAUGGUCCACCGGGUCUCGUCACGAAGCGUCAAAUUUCCGCCGACCACUGGCAACCCUUUUUCUUUUUCAGCAGGGAGCUCCACUCCAACUCUCCCACACUCCCCCCUCCCCCAUUCUGCUCUGCGCUCGCUCGCUCGCUCGCUCCGAGAAACUCCGAAAGAGGCCAAAAGAGAGAAGAAGAGAACUCGAAGGAAAUGGGAUUCGAUUCCCAAUGCCGGUGGUACCGCCUUGCCUUUCUUCUUCUCUCAGGUGUCUUUUUUUCGGCGACUGCGUCGCCGCCGGCGGUGGGCAUCAACUACGGGCAGCUGGGAAACAAUCUUCCUUCGCCGGACAGAGUGGUCGGGUUGCUCCAAUCUAUCAAUGUUAGCAAGGUCAAGCUUUAUGACUCCGAUCCGCAGGUCCUCCAUGCGUUUCGCAAUACCAGCAUCGAGUUCGUUAUCGGAAUCCCGAACGAUGACGUCGGCAAGAUGACCGAUCCGGCGAAGGCUUAUGCCUGGGUCAAGGCCAACGUUCUAGCUUACUUGCCUCAGACCAGGGUCAGCUGCAUCACUGUCGGCAACGAGGUGCUCACCGGAAACGACUCGUCGUUGAUCCAGAACCUCGUCCCGGCGAUGCAGAACGUUUACAAUGCGCUGCGGACUCUGCGGCUGGCGAACAAGGUACAGGUGACCACGGCUCACUCGCUUGCGGUUCUGCAGUCGUCGUACCCGCCAUCGACCAGCAGUUUCCGGCAAGAUCUCGUGAAACCCCUCCGCCCGCUAUUGGAUUUCCACGCGCGGACUGGAUCGCCCUUCCUGAUUAACGCCUACCCGUUCUUCGCAUACAUGGGGGAUCCGAAGAACGUCCCUCUCGAUUACGUCCUAUUCCAGCCAAACGCCGGAAACACGGACCCUAACACGGGUCUCCACUACGAUAACAUGCUGUUCGCGCAGAUCGACGCUGUGCACUCUGCGCUUGAGGCGGAGGGCCAUCAUAAUCUGACGGUCAAGGUCUCGGAGACGGGGUGGCCGUCAAAGGGAGACGCGCAGGAGGUCGGCGCGACGCCGGGGAACGCCCGGGCGUACAACGGGAACCUAAUGAAGAUCGCGGCCCAGCGGAAGGGGACGCCGAAGCGGCCCAACUCUCCCUUGGAGGUAUACGUAUUCGCGCUCUUCAACGAGAAUAUGAAGCCCGGACCGACUUCGGAGAGGAACUACGGGCUCUUCAAGCCUGAUGGAACUCCUUCAUACGCCGUCGGCCUUGACUCCGCUCGGCUCGGCUCGGCAUCUCCUCCGGCCGAUCAGUCCCCCACCCCAUUCAAUACUUCGGUCGUCUUGCCUCCGACUCAGCCUGCGACUGGUGCCAAAUCGGCGAACUCAUCUUCGGCGCCAUCCGUCACUUCGGUCUCCUCCGCCGUGGUACGAUUUCCGCACUCCUCCUCCUCCUCCUGCCUGCUCCGCUCAAAAGUGUAAAAAAUCAGCUGUUCAAAGACUCGUCGGCAGCCGGUUCUUCGGUGGGGUUCGAUGAGGCUUCUCGGGCAAGGAUUGGUUGGCUUGGUACUGGCGUGCAUGUGUUUCUUCCCCUGAAUGAAAAGCUAGACACGAUGUGUGGAUGAUAGUCGCAGCGUUGGUGGAACUGGAAGGUGUUGUUUGAUGGGUGGAUCUGAUUAUAUUUUUUCAGCCGGGAGGUCGACUGUUUUCUUCUUUUUGUGCUUCUCAAAAUAUCUCAUUGUGUAGGGGCUGUUGUAGCAUUGCCGAUUAUAUUGAUUAAAGUAGUGAAAAUUAACAUGGA
Molecule: RNA transcript, 1797 nt
Organism: Nymphaea colorata (pocket water lily)
Lineage: Eukaryota; Viridiplantae; Streptophyta; Magnoliopsida; Nymphaeales; Nymphaeaceae
Gene name: glucan endo-1,3-beta-glucosidase 14-like
Exons: 4
Source: RefSeq, a predicted model, not a curated record